RNAcentral lists this ribosomal RNA (492 nucleotides) under Psychrobacter glacincola. Its description in RNAcentral is "bacterial SSU rRNA". It matches the Rfam family "Bacterial small subunit ribosomal RNA", at positions 87 to 577 of the family's 1533-position model. The record is from RNAcentral. Lineage: Bacteria; Pseudomonadati; Pseudomonadota; Gammaproteobacteria; Moraxellales; Moraxellaceae.
GAUGACGAGCGGCGGACGGGUGAGUAAUACUUAGGAAUCUACCUAGUAGUGGGGGAUAGCUCGGGGAAACUCGAAUUAAUACCGCAUACGACCUACGGGAGAAAGGGGGCAACUUGUUGCUCUCGCUAUUAGAUGAGCCUAAGUCGGAUUAGCUAGAUGGUGGGGUAAAGGCCUACCAUGGCGACGAUCUGUAGCUGGUCUGAGAGGAUGAUCAGCCACACCGGGACUGAGACACGGCCCGGACUCCUACGGGAGGCAGCAGUGGGGAAUAUUGGACAAUGGGGGAAACCCUGAUCCAGCCAUGCCGCGUGUGUGAAGAAGGCCUUUUGGUUGUAAAGCACUUUAAGCAGUGAAGAAGACUCUUCGGUUAAUACCCGGAGACGAUGACAUUAGCUGCAGAAUAAGCACCGGCUAACUCUGUGCCAGCAGCCGCGGUAAUACAGAGGGUGCAAGCGUUAAUCGGAAUUACUGGGCGUAAAGCGAGCGUAGGUG